This 72-nucleotide transfer RNA is filed under the name bacterium. RNAcentral's name for it is "tRNA-Met". It matches the Rfam family "tRNA". Rfam says of the family: Transfer RNA (tRNA) molecules are approximately 80 nucleotides in length. The record is from RNAcentral.
AGCGAGGUGGCGCAAUGGUAGCGUGCUGGGCCCAUAACCCAGAGGUUGCUGGUUCGAAUCCAGUCUUCGCUA